Molecule: ribosomal RNA, 232 nt
Filed under: Shigella flexneri
Lineage: Bacteria; Pseudomonadati; Pseudomonadota; Gammaproteobacteria; Enterobacterales; Enterobacteriaceae
Also listed under: 2 other names
Description: partial 23S ribosomal RNA
Rfam family: Bacterial large subunit ribosomal RNA
Source: RNAcentral
GAGUGGACUUACCGCUGGUGUACCAGUUGUCUUGCCAAAGGCAUCGCUGGGUAGCUAUGUAGGGAAGGGAUAAACGCUGAAAGCAUCUAAGUGUGAAACCCACCUCAAGAUGAGAUUUCCCAUGAUUUUAUAUCAGUAAGAGCCCUGAGAGAUGAUCAGGUAGAUAGGUUAGAAGUGGAAGUGUGGCGACACAUGUAGCGGACUAAUACUAAUAGCUCGAGGACUUAUCCAA